Molecule: long non-coding RNA, 518 nt
Organism: Cheilinus undulatus (humphead wrasse)
Lineage: Eukaryota; Metazoa; Chordata; Actinopteri; Labriformes; Labridae
Exons: 3
Source: RefSeq, a predicted model, not a curated record
CUGGGACCUGCUGAGCAUUCGCAGUGAGGCUGAGCAGAGGGAGGUGGAAAAUGCGUUGAAAAAUGUCACUUUCCCGCUCACCAGAGAGCUUUGGUUGGGUCUGCGAAGGUAUCUGAUGGCUGACACCUGGUUUUGGAUGACUGGUGCGUUAGAGAACUUCACCUACUGGGAGAAAAUGUCUUCCUGGAAAGUCACCAGUCCAUGUGGUGCCAUGGACACCAGAGACCCCUUCCACUGGAGGGAUGUCCCAUGUUGCGAGCAUCUCCAUUUCAUCUGUUUGAAAGACAUUCAGAGAGACAGGAAAAAAGUGGAGUUCUUCAGCACCCGCAGACCAUAAACAGAGAGAAGCCCUGGUAUUGUCCCCCAUGAUGGUUUAAAGCUUCUAUAAGGAUUUCCUGGUUUGUUGAUUUAUGCACCCCCUUGUGGACAAAGCGGUACCUUCAAGCUCUGUGAUUACUGUGAUAAAUGUAAAGAAGUGAGGCUACCCUUAUCCACAUGUUCUGGACGUGUCCCAGUCU